CAAUACAUCACCGGCGGACGGGUGCGUAACGCGUGGGAAUGUACCUAUUGGUUCGGAACAACACAGGGAAACUUGUGCUAAUACCGAAUGUGUCCUUACGGAGAAAGAUUUAUCGCCAAUAGAUCAGCCCGCGUCCGAUUAGCUAGUUGGUGGGGUAAAAGCCUACCAAGGCGACGAUCUGUAGCUGGUCUGAGAGGACGACCAGCCACACUGGGACUGAGACACGGCCCAG
RNAcentral lists this ribosomal RNA (232 nucleotides) under uncultured bacterium. Its description in RNAcentral is "partial 16S ribosomal RNA". It matches the Rfam family "Bacterial small subunit ribosomal RNA", at positions 85 to 334 of the family's 1533-position model. The record is from RNAcentral.